This 117-nucleotide ribosomal RNA is filed under the name uncultured bacterium. RNAcentral describes it as "partial 16S ribosomal RNA". It matches the Rfam family "Bacterial small subunit ribosomal RNA", at positions 1358 to 1482 of the family's 1533-position model. The record is from RNAcentral.
UACGGUGAAUACCGUUCCCGGACCUUGUACACACCGCCCGUCAAGCCAUGGAAGCUGGGUGUACCUAAAGUCGAUAACCGUAAGGAGUCGCCUAGGGUAAAACUAGUAACUGGGGCU